This 353-nucleotide ribosomal RNA is filed under the name uncultured eukaryote. Its description in RNAcentral is "LSU rRNA". It matches the Rfam family "Bacterial large subunit ribosomal RNA", at positions 2127 to 2479 of the family's 2925-position model. The record is from RNAcentral.
GCUUUGUUUGCGCAGGAUAGGUGGGAGGCGUUGAAAGUUUUCUUGCGGGAAGAUUUGAGCCAUUGGUGAGAUACCACUCUAACAAUGCUAGGAUUCUAACCCUAUGUCGUUAUCCGGCUAGGGGACAGUUUCAGGUGGUCAGUUUGACUGGGGCGGUCGCCUCCUAAAAGGUAACGGAGGCGUGCAAAGGUUCCCUCAGGCUGGUUGGAAAUCAGUCGUAGAGUGUAAAGGCAUAAGGGAGCUUGAUUGUGAGACCUACAAGUCGAACAAAGACGAAAGUCGGCCUUAGUGAUCCGGCGGUACCGAGUGGAAGGGCCGUCGCUCAACGGAUAAAAGUUACUCUAGGGAUAACA